GACGAACGCUGGCGGCGUGCUUAACACAUGCAAGUCGAACGGAAAGGUCCUGCUUUUGUGGGGUGCUCGAGUGGCGAACGGGUGAGUAACACGUGAGUAACCUGCCCUUGACUUUGGGAUAACUUCAGGAAACUGGGGCUAAUACCGGAUAGGAGCUCCUGCUGCAUGGUGGGGGUUGGAAAGUUUCGGCGGUUGGGGAUGGACUCGCGGCUUAUCAGCUUGUUGGUGGGGUAGUGGCUUACCAAGGCUUUGACGGGUAGCCGGCCUGAGAGGGUGACCGGCGAGAGGGGGGGGGGGAUGCGCCGCGGGCGCGGAGGGCGGGCGGGAGUGGGAGUGAUGGCGGGGGGGGCGGGGGGAGGGUGGCGCAGGGCGGGGGGCGGGAUGAGGGGCUUGGCGGUGUAACCGGCGGUCGAGGGUGAGGGGGGGUGAGCGUGGGAAAGGGGGAAAGAAGCACCGGCUAACUACGGGAAAGCAGCCGCGGUAAUCAUCGGAAGAGCACCCGUCAGACU
Molecule: ribosomal RNA, 509 nt
Filed under: uncultured bacterium
Lineage: Bacteria
Description: partial 16S ribosomal RNA
Rfam family: Bacterial small subunit ribosomal RNA (bases 20-332)
Source: RNAcentral